This 23-nucleotide non-coding RNA is filed under the name Cricetulus griseus (Chinese hamster). The record is from RNAcentral. Lineage: Eukaryota; Metazoa; Chordata; Mammalia; Rodentia; Cricetidae.
GCAGGAGAGGGAGAAGGAACUGA